AAGAUUUUAAGUUAAGAUAUUAAACUAUUAGCCUUCAAAGUUAAAAAUAAUAUAUAUAUAUAUUUAUUAAAUCUUA
Molecule: transfer RNA, 76 nt
Filed under: Janus sp.
Lineage: Eukaryota; Metazoa; Arthropoda; Insecta; Hymenoptera; Cephidae
Description: tRNA-Trp
Source: RNAcentral